Long non-coding RNA from Solea solea (common sole), 380 nucleotides. RefSeq lists it as uncharacterized. The record is from RefSeq and is a predicted model, not a curated record. Lineage: Eukaryota; Metazoa; Chordata; Actinopteri; Pleuronectiformes; Soleidae. The transcript is spliced from 3 exons.
GGUGGACAGGUGCGAGCAGGCUUCACUCCUCACUGUGUCUUCUGCUUCAGAAAGCGUCGGCUACUGGUGAUGUGUUCAGGGUCUCGUCCAGUCUCAGCUGUCAGAACAUCCCACCCCAGGAGGAUAGGUGGUAUAGAUGAUGGAUGAAUGGACGAUCUUCACAUUGAGGGGCGGAGGGACACAGUGGCACUACCAAGGAGUCCCUGCAACAGAGCAACACACAAGAAGGUGUGGAGGGGCCUGAAAACCAUGUCUGGCCAGUGGGGAGAUAGUAAGAGGGACCCUGAAUCUGGAGACCUGGAGCAGGCAAAUGAUCUCAAUCUAGAUCAUUAAAUCCGGCUUUUGUGUAAUGGUGUAUAAAAAGGAUGGGUUACAUGCAG